CUAAAUAUAGUGAAUUCAGGUGAUCCGGCUAGUAAUAGUUCGAGUCUUAAAAGGGAAGUAUGGUGCAAAUCCAUCACGGUCCCGCCACUGUAAUCCAAGAAUCAACCUGCAUCAUGCAGAGAAGUAGGCUCAAGCUUAUGCCACUGUAAGCACUACUUAUGGGAAGGCGCUAGUGCCUAAAUAAACGGACAUCAUCUACAUAUAGAUAACGAAGCCGUUAACUUGGAGAGUCAGGAGACCUGCCUGUUGGACCAAUAUAAC
This 261-nucleotide non-coding RNA is filed under the name Paenibacillus sp. The record is from RNAcentral. RNAcentral also lists the same sequence under 1 other name. Lineage: Bacteria; Bacillati; Bacillota; Bacilli; Caryophanales; Paenibacillaceae.